This 967-nucleotide ribosomal RNA is filed under the name Staphylococcus aureus. RNAcentral describes it as "partial 23S ribosomal RNA". It matches the Rfam family "Bacterial large subunit ribosomal RNA", at positions 1956 to 2925 of the family's 2925-position model. The record is from RNAcentral. Lineage: Bacteria; Bacillati; Bacillota; Bacilli; Caryophanales; Staphylococcaceae.
GUAGCGAAAUUCCUUGUCGGGUAAGUUCCGACCCGCACGAAAGGCGUAACGAUUUGGGCACUGUCUCAACGAGAGACUCGGUGAAAUCAUAGUACCUGUGAAGAUGCAGGUUACCCGCGACAGGACGGAAAGACCCCGUGGAGCUUUACUGUAGCCUGAUAUUGAAAUUCGGCACAGCUUGUACAGGAUAGGUAGGAGCCUUUGAAACGUGAGCGCUAGCUUACGUGGAGGCGCUGGUGGGAUACUACCCUAGCUGUGUUGGCUUUCUAACCCGCACCACUUAUCGUGGUGGGAGACAGUGUCAGGCGGGCAGUUUGACUGGGGCGGUCGCCUCCUAAAAGGUAACGGAGGCGCUCAAAGGUUCCCUCAGAAUGGUUGGAAAUCAUUCAUAGAGUGUAAAGGCAUAAGGGAGCUUGACUGCGAGACCUACAAGUCGAGCAGGGUCGAAAGACGGACUUAGUGAUCCGGUGGUUCCGCAUGGAAGGGCCAUCGCUCAACGGAUAAAAGCUACCCCGGGGAUAACAGGCUUAUCUCCCCCAAGAGUUCACAUCGACGGGGAGGUUUGGCACCUCGAUGUCGGCUCAUCGCAUCCUGGGGCUGUAGUCGGUCCCAAGGGUUGGGCUGUUCGCCCAUUAAAGCGGUACGCGAGCUGGGUUCAGAACGUCGUGAGACAGUUCGGUCCCUAUCCGUCGUGGGCGUAGGAAAUUUGAGAGGAGCUGUCCUUAGUACGAGAGGACCGGGAUGGACAUACCUCUGGUGUACCAGUUGUCGUGCCAACGGCAUAGCUGGGUAGCUAUGUGUGGACGGGAUAAGUGCUGAAAGCAUCUAAGCAUGAAGCCCCCCUCAAGAUGAGAUUUCCCAACUUCGGUUAUAAGAUCCCUCAAAGAUGAUGAGGUUAAUAGGUUCGAGGUGGAAGCAUGGUGACAUGUGGAGCUGACGAAUACUAAUCGAUCGAAGACUUAAUCAA